GGCCCGCCUGGCAGGACUACCGACCAAGGCCUUGGAAAACCGGAGCGAUUAGAGCAGUGAGUCGCGCUGGUCACGUUGGACACCUGCGCGUUGGGAGAUUCUGGAGCCAGAAGGACAGCCGAAUGGCAUUCUCCCGCCCUGCCCCUCGCCCGCUUCAGAAGCCCCCGGAAACGCCCUGGUCCGCGGCCCGGGCCGGAGCCGCCAGGGGGCCUAAGAAUGGGGAGAAAUUGAAGGGAAAAUGGAGAUGAACCUGAAAGAGCCCCAAACGCGAGAACGUGUACCUCCCCCAAGAAUAAGAUCUUCCAGAAGAAUGAGACAGAAAAACUAGUCAUCUGGGAACCGUGAAAUCCUUGGAGGAGUAGCAUCAUCAUGACCCUCUGUGUUCCUUUUAACAGAAGGACUUGCUUCCAUUGUUUGUUUGUUCAAUUGUUUGUGUUUGUUAAAUAAAUAAAACUCUUUUCAUGUAUCUUUGAAAUUAUGUUGGUUCUAUUACUUUAUGAUUACAAACAAUGCUGCAGUCGUCAUUCUUGUACAUUUCUCAUUGGCCACUGGUGUAUCUCUAUAGGGUAGAGGCAUGGAGAGCAGUUGUUCCAGCGUAGUGAUUACAUGGUUUUUUAUAUCAUUCCAUUUUCUUCCUUUUUUGGCUUAUUAGCUGUAAUUCUUUCUUUUGUUAAGUCAGUGAUGGCUUUAGGGUUCCUAGAAUACAUCUUUAUCAGUCUGCCAUCGAGUGACAUUAUACUUCCCCUUCUGGCCUUUAUGCUAGUGUUAUGUCAUUUGAUUUUAGACAUGUUAUAAACCCCAACAUCUGAGUAUGUACAUAGCGAUUUUUAGUCAUCUCCAUUUCUUUGUGUAGGUUCAGAUUUCUGUCUGGUAUCCUCAUCCUUAGGCCUGGAGGACUCCUUUAACAUUUCUUGUAGUGUGGGUUGGUCAAUGCUUUCAUUUAUUUGUAUGUCUUUAUUUUUAUUUGUAUUUUGUUGAGAUGGAGUCUCGCUCUGUUACACAGGCUGGAGUACAGUGGCAUGAUCUUUGCUCGCUCCAACCUCCAUCUCCUGGGCACAAGUGAUUCUCAUGCCUCAGCCUCCUGAGUAGCUGGGAUCACAGGCAUGUGCCACCACGCCUGGCUAAUUUUUGUAUUUUUAGUAGAGACAGGGUUUUGCCAUGUUGGCCAGGCUGGUCUCCCAACUCCCUGUCCUCAAGUGAUCCACCUGCCUCAGCUUCCCAAAGUGCUGAGAUUACAGGCAUGAGCCACCACGCUUGGCCUCAUUUUUUUGUAUAUCUUUGAGUGUCCUUAUUCCAGUCACAUUUUUUAAAGAUUUUUCAUUGUGGGAUAGAAUUCCAGAAUAAGUAUUUUUCCUCUCACUACUUUAGGAUAUUGCCCUUUGAUGCCUUGUCAUUGAUAUAUCAUCUUUUCUGUUUUUGUAAAACUGGCAUAAAGGAGGUUUCCUGUACUUGUUAUAUAAUUUUUGAAAUGUGUAUUUAAAUUUUUUUUAAAAAAUUAUACUAUACUUUAAGUUCUGGGAUACAUGUGCAGAACGUGCAGGUUUGUUACAUAGGUAUACAUGUGCCAUGGUGGUUUGCUGCACCCAUCAACCCGUCGUCUACAUUAGGUAUUUCUCAUAAUGCAAUCCUUCUCCUUGCCCUCUAGCCCUGAGAGGUCCUGGUGUGUGAUGUUCCCCUCCCUGUUUCCAUGUGUUCUCAUUUUCAACUCCCAUUUAUGAGUGAGAACAUGUGGUGUUUGGUUUUCUGUUCCUGUGUUAAUUUGCUGAGAAUGAUGGUUUCCAGUUUUAUCCAUGUCCCUGCAAAGGACAUGAACUCCUUUUUAAUGGCUGCAUAGUAUUCCAUGGUGUAUGAGUGACACGUUUUCUUUAUCCAGUCUACCAUCAAUGGGCAUGUGAGUUUGUUCCAAGCCUUUGCUACUGUGAAUAAUGCUGCAAUAAACAUACGUGUGCAUGUGUCUUUAUAG
Molecule: long non-coding RNA, 1963 nt
Organism: Macaca fascicularis (crab-eating macaque)
Lineage: Eukaryota; Metazoa; Chordata; Mammalia; Primates; Cercopithecidae
Source: Ensembl